RNAcentral lists this long non-coding RNA (800 nucleotides) under Mytilus galloprovincialis (Mediterranean mussel). The record is from RNAcentral. Lineage: Eukaryota; Metazoa; Mollusca; Bivalvia; Mytilida; Mytilidae.
CGGGACCAAAAGUUAAGAAUCUACAUACACAGUCAUGACAGUUAGAUUCGGCAUAUCAAAGAACCCCAAUUAUUCAAUUUUUGAUGAAAUCAAACAAAGUUUAAUUUUGGACCCUUCGGGCCCCUUAUUCUGUUGGGACCAAAACUCCCUAAAUCAAUACCAACCUUCCUUUUAUGGUCAUAAACCUUGUGUUUAAAUUUCAUAGAUUUCUUUUUACUUAUACUAACGUUAUGGUGCGAAAACCAAGAAAAAUGCUUAUUUGGGUCCCUUUUUGGCCCCUAAUUCCUAAACUGUUGGGACCUAAACUCCCAAAAUCAAUACCAACCUUUCUUUUGUAGUCAUUAACAUUGUGUUUAAAUUUCAUUGAUUUCUAUUUACGUAAACUAAAGUUAUUGUGCGAAAACCAAGAAUAAUGCUUAUUUGGGCCCUUUUUUGGCCCCUAAUUCCUAAACUGUUGAAACCAAAACUCCCAAAAUCAAUCCCAACCGUUCUUUUGUGGUCAUAAACCUUGUGUCAAAAUUUCAUAGAUUUCUAUUAACUUAAACUAAAGAUAUAGUGCGAAAACCAAGAAAAUGCUUAUUUGGGCCCUUUUUGGCCCCUAAUUCCUAAAAUGUUGGGACCAAAACUCCCAAAAUCAAUACCAACCUUCCUUUUGUGGUCAUAAACCUUGUGUUAAAAUUUCAUAGAUUUCCAUUCACUUUUACUAAAGUUAGAGUGCGAAAACUAAAAGUAUUCGGACGACGACGACGCCAACGUGAUAGCAAUAUACGACGAAAAAUUUUUCAAAUUUUGCGGUCGUA